UAGGUGGAGCAUUGAGGAAUUGUUUU
Molecule: non-coding RNA, 26 nt
Filed under: Homo sapiens (human)
Lineage: Eukaryota; Metazoa; Chordata; Mammalia; Primates; Hominidae
Source: RNAcentral